AGCCCCUGCGAUGGGAAGACCUCAGACGGCUUUUGUGACCUGGGAGGGAGUGUAGCCGGAGUUGCGGCCCUGAGAGGCGGUGAGGCUGUGCAGUCCGGGUUCUGCUGAGCUUUCUCCCCACUUCCUUUUCGCUGCCCAGUUUUCCUGUCCUUGAUGUCCCGGGCCUGGCGUGUCUUGGACGGAAACUCGGCAUCUUCUGUUUACUGCUGGCAUCCACGAAACAGUAACAGGCCCCAGACUCUUCACAGAUCCUGAAACCACUCACCUGCCUAAGACUGACAACGUUGGCACAAUUUCAACCUCCCUGUGCCUUUCUUCCCGGGGAAGGAAGCUGAGAGGGGAUGAAUCAAGUAACAUAAUAAACUUCUGAGAAGGCAGAGCAAUAUGUUUGGGUCUCCAUCUUUCUUUCAAAAAAGAAGCUUCAUAUCAAGACUUGGAAAGAAGUGCAAAUCUCUUAGUGAAGAAACUGCCAAGAAAAUUACUGCUCACCUAGCUCAAAGAGAAACAUUAAUUAAAGGGCCACAUCCACAGCAUAUGCAGGUUACCAGGCCAGGGGUUGAAUUGAAGCCACAGCUGCUAGCCUUCGCCACAGCCACAGCAACACAGGAUCCAAGCUGCAUCCGUGAGCUACACCACAGCCCACAGCAACACCAGAACCCCAACCCACUGAGCAAGGCCAGGGAUGGAACCUCAAAGUCAUGGUCACUAGUCCAAUUCAUUUCUGCUGUGCCACAAUGGGAACUCCUCCUUUGGUAUUGUUAACAUUUGGACCUUUCACUCACGUGUGCUCUGAUCUUCACAAAAGGGCUUUAGGAUAUUAAUUAGUCUAGAAACAAAUGUAUCCUUAUCUGGUGUUGAUCACCAUUAUACAGUUACUAAGCUAAAAGUGCAUCAAAUAUUAAAAAUCAGUUAAGUUACAGAAAACAUAAUGAAUGAUCCGAAAAGACUGCAUGCCAUCUAGAGAAAGAAAAAAUUUCUGCUUUGAUUAUUUUAUGGAUAUAUCUUUUGUAAUUCAUUUAACCUGGCAACUUAACAUUUUUGCACCUGUCUAUUGCAUUUCAUAGUAUAAAUUUCCAUAGCUAUUAUCUUUUAGUUUCUUACACGUUGUUCUCCAUAUAGCAACAAAUUGUAAGUGUUGUGCUUGUUGGAAGCUAGAUGUGGUGUGUAUUGAGAACUAUAUAUAGAGGUGGCCCUCAAGUACUUAGAAGUAAAGGAAAUAGAAUGCCUUGUGAGACAAACAGUAAACUGAGCAUAACUACCCUAUCUUUGAUGGGAAAAUUCUCCUGCAAAAGAUAUAACUUUCUGUGCCUUCAGAACUUUAAAAUAUGGAUGAUGUUUAUAUACAUACCUGUCACGUUAGCCAAGGAAACCCAGCAAAGAAGAGUCAUGCAGCAUAGUUUGGGAUCUUUCCCAGGACAUAGAAAGGAGAGUUAUCAAGAAUAACAUUGGAAGUAUCAAUUCCAACUGGUUCUUAGUGAGAGGGAGUUUUAGGCAUCAUGUUUUGUUUUGUUUAUUUCAUUAUUUAUUUUUGGCUACAAGGGAACUCCUAGGCAUUAUAUUUUAAAUGCCCUGGUGCCUAGAGAAAGAUUAUGUCCAUGGAGAUUUGGACACAUCACACCUCAUAUAAGAAAUAUUUGACUUCUCUAAUGCUUAUUGUUAAAAUGUUUAUGUUCAGGUAACUUUAAUCACAUGACCUUAAUUAUGAGAGAAAAGCUGUUCAUUCUGACUGUGGGUCUUCUACUUUUCGUAACAAUUGUUUUUCAGCUUAAUUUAAUAAAUUCACAUUUUGAUAUCUCUUGCUAUCUCCUGGGAAGUUUACACUUAAUCAAUGUCACAGGACUUCUAGAAAUUGAUCAUCGGUCUCUCCUUGAGCCUACUUGCACAUGCUGAUCUAUCUGGGGAUUUCUAUACUUGAUCUUAAACUAAGUCACCAAAUAUACAAUAUUAGAAGCCAAAUCAAAUUCUGUAAACAAAGUGAGAAACCACAGUUUACUAAAGAAAAAAAAAAUUGGAGAUGGCUCAUAUCACAAGCUGGAUUUCAACAUCCAACACUAUGUGGUAGAUGGCCGGAUCAACUGAAACCUACAAAUGAGCUCUUCCUAGAACAGAGGUGAAUGUGGCUCAAGCAGCCUUUGAAAUAAGAUGUUCUUCCCUAAGUGUAUGUGUACAUGUGUGUGUGCGUGUUUGAGUGUGUGUUUGUAUAUGAGAGAGAGAGUCUAAAUAGAUUUUUCUGAUGUCUGGCCUAGAAAUCCAACUAAUAUCAGCCCAAAAUUGUCAAUGUGUUGGCCAAUAUGAUAGCAAUCAUGCGAGUGAGAAAGCGGGAGCAGAAUCAGGGUACCUCUUCAUGUAGCUAUAUAUCAUCAAGUCUGGGCCUGACCUAAGAGUAUCCUGAUAUAUAACUCCCCUGCUAGCAGUGCUGCCUUUGUGGUGUCCAAUAUGCAUUAAGCUACUCUGGAUUUUGUUUAUUUUCCUUUUUGUUUAUUUUCCUUUUUAGGGCUGUACCUGUGGCAUAUGGAAGUUCCUGGGUUACAGGCUGAAUCAGAGCUGCAGCUGCCAGACUACACCACAGCCACAGCAACACCAGAUCUGAGCUGCAUCUGUGAUUUACACUGCAGCUUGUGGCGAUGCCAGAUCCCUAACCCACUGAAAGAGGCCAGGGAUCGAACCUGCAUGAACACUAUGUCAGGUUCUAAGUCCACUGUGCCACAAUGGGAACUCCAAGCUGCUCAGUUUUGAGAGGGUUUGUUAUUGCUAUUUAGUAUAUGUACUACUUGCUACCAAAAUUAAAUAUGUUAGGCUUAUAUAUUUCAUCAUAUAUAAAGGCCAAAAAUACAAUUUUCAGUGAAUAGAAGUCAUUGAAUGAUUUAUACAGGUUUGUGUAAGUGUGAAAAUGUGAAAAAGAAAAGUACAUAUUCUUUAUACAUAAAUAAAAUUAUGAAAUGUAUACACAGGAAUGAUAUAUUCAGGUUAAGAGAUAUAUCUAGGAAAGUUUGGAGGGAAAUGAGAUUAAGAAAACUGCACUCAAGGGACUUUGUUAUAUUUUAUUUAUAUUUUAGAAUUGAAGAUUUUAUAAUAUAGCAAAACUGGGCGGAAAACAUGUAUAUUCAGGAUAAAUUUCUCCAGAUUUUUAUACACGUUUGAAAUACUUCACAGCUAAAAAAUAAUUAAAAAUAAAAGCCUUCAUGGAGAAAGUGCUAUUUCCUGUGAAGGAUAAAUAGGAUUUACACAGUGAUAUUUUAUUGCUCUAUAUUAGUUUCCUAUUGUUACUGUAACAAAUUACUGUAAAAUUAGUGGCCUAAAACAACAUAGAUUUAUAUCUUAGUUUUGAUGGUCAAAAUAUGAAAUAGGUCUAAAACGAAGACGUCAGCAAAGCCAUAUUUUUCUAGAGGCUUUAGGGAAGACUCUAUUUUCUCACUUUUUCCACCUUCUCAAAUCUGCUCACAUUCAUUGGUUCAUGGUCCUUUUUGCUCUUUAAAGCCAGCAAUGGCACGUCAUGUGUUUCUCAAGAUGUCUUCUCUCUUUUUCUAAUUCUUUUGCCUUCCUCUUCCCCAUUUAAUACUGUGUGAUUACAUUGGGCCACCUGGAAUAAUCUCUUUAUCUUUUUUUUUAUAAUUUUUUUAUUUCCCCACUGUACAGCAAGGGGGUCAGGUUAUCCUUACAUGUAUACAUUACAAUUACAUUUUUUUUCCCCCCCCUUUGUUCUGUUGCAACAUGAGUAUCUAGACAAAGUUCUCAAUGCUAUUCAGCAGGAUCUCCCUGUAAAUCUAUUCUAAAUAGUGUCUGAUAAGCCCAAGCUCCCGAUCCCUCCCACGCCCUCCCCCUCCCAUCAGGCAGCCACAAGUCUCUUCUGCAAGUCCAUGAUUUUCUUUUCUGAGAUGUUCAUUUGUGCUGGAUAUUAGAUUCCAGUUAUAAGUGAUAUCGUAUGGUAUUUGUCUUUGUCUUUUUGGCUCAUUUCACUCAGUAUGAGAGUCUCUAGUUCCAUCCAUGUUGCUGCAAAUGGCAUUAUGUCAUUCUUUUUUAUGGCUGAGUAGUAUUCCAUUGUGUAUAUAUACCACCUCUUCCGAAUCCAAUCAUCUGUCGAUGGACAUUUGGGUUGUUUCCAUAUCCUGGCUAUUGUGAAUAGUGCUGCAGUGAACAUGUGAAUGCACGUGUCUCUUUUAAGUAGAGUUUUGUCCGGAUAGAUGCCCAAGAGUGGGAUUGCGGGGUCAUAUGGAAGUUCUAUGUAUAGAUUUCUAAGGUAUCUCCAAACUGUUCUCCAUAGUGGCUGUACCAGUUUACAUUCCCACCAACAGUGCAGGAAGGUUCCCUUUUCUCCACAGCCCAAUCAGCUGAUUGGCAAUCUUAAUUUUAUAUGCAAUCCUAAUUCCCCCUUGCCAUGUAGCAUAAUAUAUUCACAGAUUCUGGAGAUUAGGUUGUGAACAUCUUUGGGGCAGAUAUUCUUCUGUCCACCACCACAGAGGCCAUCAGUAUUCUUUGUUUAUAAACAACAGACAUUGUCUCUAACUUAAGCAUAUAGAGAAUUUAUUAGGUGGAUAAAGGUUUAGCUUAUAGAAUUACAGAGAGCUGAAUAAUUGUGUGUUGGAAUGGGUGUGAAACAGAGCAGCUCUGGAUAUCUAGAAAGUGGAGAUGAUUGACAGUCUUUUUAAUAGAUACUACUAUCUUUUUUUCCCCUUUUUUCUUAAUAUAUUUCAACAAAUAAUACACCAAUGUUUGGGAUCAUUAAUGUGAUGUAACUUAUUAGUUUGUCUCAGAGAAAAAUAUUCCAUGUUUAGACACUACUAUAUUGAUGAAUAGUUCCAACUAUGUUUUUAUUCUUAUGCUACUGAAGAUUGAAACUCCAGGGAGAGAAAGAUUCAGACUGGAUUAGCCUAAGUAAUGUAUCCACUCCUUAGCCAGAGCCUGGAUGAACACCUUGGUUUAUGGACCCAUGAAGAUUGUAGGCAAUGAGAGGAGGUUCUUCCCCAAUGGGAAAUCUAGAUAUUAUCACCAGAAGAAGGAGAAAUGUAUGUUAGGCGUCUCAAAAUAAGAGACGCCUACUGCAGUAGAAAAAGGUAUUCUGAGUAAUAGUAGUGUCAGCUAGGUGGUAGUAGAAUGAUAAUAAAUUGUAUAUUUUAUGAAUAAGUUUAGUUUUGCUAGCAUGGAACAUGAAAAUAGCCCUCCCUGGAUAACAACAGCAAAGUAGGCUUGGCUGUGUAGAGCUGUCCCUGAGUGUGCAGGGGAAAGACUUUACCCAAUGUCAUGGGGCAUAGGCAACUAUCAAAUAUUUUAGGAUUGAGGAAUACCAAUAGCAACUGUAGUUAGGAAGCUUAGGUCAAUGGCACUGGGAGCAAAUGGAGUAGGAAUUUUGAUUCAGAACACAGUUAUGCCACUAACAGCUAAGAACAAAUCUUACCUAAUUAUUUCCAUUCUCUCUGGAAUUAAACACUAAGCUUCUACUUAGUGAAAGACAAGUCUGAUUUCCUAGAGAUCAAUUAUUUCUGCAGCUCUUUGGGGAAGGAAGUAAGAUUCAUGAUUUUCUAUAACAUAUCUAAAAGCUCCUAUACAGGGACUCAGCAUAACCUCCCAUAAUGACAACCACAGAGGCAAGCCUUCACAAAACUUUCUUCAUUCUAUUCCAUUCAUUUUUGUCUUUCAGACCCCAUAUUUAUCUACCUCAUUCUAUCCAGUAGCCAUUCUUCCCAGUUAUUCAUUAAAGGAAUUUAUACAUUUGUCCUAAGCAAAUCCUUACCUAGAAUAUGCUACACAAAAAAAUUGCAAUAUGAUUUUCAAGGAAACUAAUUUUAAAUUCACACAUUUAAAGAUUGGUGUUUAGGUUUCACAAAGAGAAAUUACUAAAGUAAGUAAUUUGAUGCUCAAAAAUAUUUGCAACUUACAUACACGACAAAGAUUAAAAAAGAAUUCCUGGUCCAGAACUAUUCCUCCUCAGGAAUCCUGGAAGCAAUAUGAAACUCAAGCUGUGAAUCUGAAAAGGAAUGUAAAGUAUUAACACGUACGAUCAAUGUACCAUCAUCAUUGCCUAGAAAUAUUUUCCCCUUACUUCUGAAACAUUGUCCAUUUUUAUCUGGAUCAUAACAGCUCUUCUUCUGUCUCCGUUGUUUUGCUGGCCGGUGGAAUAGAUGAGUCAUUUCACCAUCUGGGCUAGAGAAAAGGGAGAUGUAUGGCUGAAUAAAGCUGAAUAUUAUCUGCAUAAUGAUGGCCCUGCAAUCCAAAAUAUCUCUCUUUCUUAGUGUCCUCAUCUACACUUAGUCUUUCUUCAAAACAAAAUUAGGGGAUAUUCUACAAAAGCAAUUUCUGGCUACUUCUUCUCACCUCUAAGUCAACAUUUCAAAACGUUUGGCAGUAUAAACUCCAGGCAGCAUUGACUUUUCAAAGGUUUGUUAAUGGCUGAAAAGACUGGAUUGAAGUAAUUUAGCAAAACAUAUAGCACCAUAUUUUUUUUGAAGUGUCAUUCAAAAUUCUACAUAAAACUACUUCUCAAAAGCAGAGUUAGCACUUGAAGAGGUAAAGGUCAGUCUUUGCCUGGAGAUAGAAUCAGGGUUGCCCAAAUGAUGCAACUUUUCAAUUCACUGUAUGUGGGUGUAUGUGUGCGUGCGUACCUGUAUAUGUUCAUGUGUACUUUGCUGAAUGCCAAGAUACAGUGGAGGAAAAAAACAUAUAUCUUGCCUUCAUAGGGUUUAUAGAUGCAUGUGAUCAAACGUAUAGACUACCUGUAGAAAUAUGUAUGUAUUUCUAGGAAUAAAAAACUUGUAUUUAUGACACAGGUAAUUAGGAGUUCUCUUAUGGUGCAGGUAGUCAAGGAUCCAGCAUCGUCACUACUGUAGCACAGGUUUGAUCCCUAGGAACUUCUACAUGCCAUGGGAGCAGCCAAAAAAAAAAAGAAAAAA
Molecule: long non-coding RNA, 6884 nt
Filed under: Sus scrofa (pig)
Lineage: Eukaryota; Metazoa; Chordata; Mammalia; Artiodactyla; Suidae
Description: lncRNA (ENSSSCG00060009180.1)
Source: RNAcentral